RNAcentral lists this ribosomal RNA (468 nucleotides) under uncultured bacterium. Its description in RNAcentral is "partial 16S ribosomal RNA". It matches the Rfam family "Bacterial small subunit ribosomal RNA", at positions 28 to 507 of the family's 1533-position model. The record is from RNAcentral.
GACGAACGCUGGCGGCGUGCUUAACACAUGCAAGUCGAACGGAAAGACCCUGCUUUUGUGGGGUGCUCGAGUGGCGAACGGGUGAGUAACACGUGAGUAACCUGCCCUUGACUUUGGGAUAACUUCAGGAAACUGGGGCUAAUACCGGAUAGGAGCUCCUGCUGCAUGGUGGGGGUUGGAAAGUUUCGGCGGUUGGGGGUGGACUCGCGGCUUAUCAGCUUGUUGGUGGGGGAGUGGCUUACCAAGGCUCUGACGGGUAGCCGGCCUGAGAGGGUGACGGGCCACAUUGGGACAGAGAUACGGCCCAGACUCCUACGGGGGGCAGCAGUGGGGAAUAUUGCACAAUGGGCGGAAGCCUGAUGCAGCAACGCCGCGUGCGGGAUGACGGCCUUCGGGGUGUAAACCGUCUUCGCCUGUGACGAAGCGUGAGUGACGGUAAUGGGUAAAGAAGCACCGGCUAACUACGUG